RNAcentral lists this long non-coding RNA (1140 nucleotides) under Olea europaea (common olive). Its description in RNAcentral is "long non-coding RNA (OEUR_LNC005633)". Lineage: Eukaryota; Viridiplantae; Streptophyta; Magnoliopsida; Lamiales; Oleaceae. The record is from RNAcentral.
CACAAAUGAACUAUCCAUCUCAAUAAACGAACUGUACAAUACAAUAAGCUCAGUUCGUGGUUUUAUUACGUCACAUUAACUCCAAGAACAUACACGCACAUAAAUCAAAAUGCAAAAUUCAAAGAGAAACCAUGUAACACCAUUCAACUUAAACUUAUAGUGCAUAUUACAUAAACAUGACUUACAAAUCAAAAGAUCAAUCUUUAAUCAAUUAAAUGUAAGGAACUAAUUCACGGAUCUCUUCCCUCUUGUUUCUCCUGCUCUUCUGUAACUCUUGUUAUCUUGCGGAUAGUUGUAUUGAGUAAUAUCUCCACGUCCUCUUCUUUAGAUAUUUGAGCAAGAUUUUUGGACAAACGGGACAAAUCGUCAAUGAAAUCCUUGUUCUUUCCACGUUCUCUGCAGCUAUGGCAAUCCCUCCUGUUCUUUCCAUCCAUUGAAAAAUUCUAUUGCACCCACAACAAUUAACCAUAUCAGCAUAAAACACGAGAUUUUCAAUAAAAUAUAAUGAUAAAAUGAUGCCUGCUGAAACUGAAGCCAUGAAAGAAGACACAAAUUCUUAAACUGAAAGAAAGUCAGAAGCCAUGAAACUUCCUGGCAACAACACAAGGUCCACUCCAGACACAAUUUCCAAAUAAUAAUCUUGAUUAAUUAUCCUUGUGAUUAUGAAUUAAUUAAAGGGUAUGUAAUCUCCAUUAAAAUACUCGUGAAAAAUCAAAAAAGCUAAAAAAAGAAAAAAAACGAAAAUGAGAACUUGCUUGCGAAUCGAGGAUCUGUGAAGAAGAUAUGCUGAUGAUGUUCUUCACAUUAUAUGAAAAAAGAACAAAAUAUUUAGGAGAAAAUACAUCCAUUACAGAUUCUAAAAUAAGAAGAGAAAGACGCCGACCGAAGUAGUAAUUACUGUCGCCGGCGUCGAGGGUCCUAGAUACUAACCUCCGUUCCGGCCAUAUUUGUUCUUCAGCCUGCCGUUUUUGGGGAGAGAGAGAGAGAAUAGAAGUGAGAAAUAACGAGGCGUUUUCCAAUUCUUUUUGGCAUAAAUUCACCAGUGGCCACCCUUUUCACCGGAAUAAAGUUGAAAAAAUAAAGUUGGCGGUCAUGGUAAAUCAAAAAGAGCAAUACUACGUAGUUUCACUGGUUUAAUCU